AUUGAACGCUGGCGGCAGGCCUAACACAUGCAAGUCGAGCGGAUGAAGGGAGCUUGCUCCUGGAUUCAGCGGCGGACGGGUGAGUAAUGCCUAGGAAUCUGCCUGGUAGUGGGGGAUAACGUCCGGAAACGGGCGCUAAUACCGCAUACGGCCUGAGGGAGAAAGUGGGGGAUCUUCGGACCUCACGCUAUCAGAUGAGCCUAGGUCGGAUUAGCUAGUUGGUGGGGUAAAGGCCUACCAAGGCGACGAUCCGUAACUGGUCUGAGAGGAUGAUCAGUCACACUGGAACUGAGACACGGUCCCGACUCCUACGGGAGGCAGCAGUGGGGAAUAUUGGACAAUGGGCGAAAGCCUGAUCCAGCCAUGCCGCGUGUGUGAAGAAGGUCUUCGGAUUGUAAAGCACUUUAAGUUGGGAGGAAGGGCAGUAAGUUAAUACCUUGCUGUUUUGACGUUACCAACAGAAUAAGCACCGGCUAACUUCGUG
This 484-nucleotide ribosomal RNA is filed under the name uncultured bacterium. RNAcentral describes it as "partial 16S ribosomal RNA". It matches the Rfam family "Bacterial small subunit ribosomal RNA", at positions 30 to 507 of the family's 1533-position model. The record is from RNAcentral.